This 253-nucleotide ribosomal RNA is filed under the name uncultured bacterium. Its description in RNAcentral is "partial 16S ribosomal RNA". It matches the Rfam family "Bacterial small subunit ribosomal RNA", at positions 524 to 776 of the family's 1533-position model. The record is from RNAcentral.
UACGUAGGGUGCAAGCGUUGUCCGGAAUUAUUGGGCGUAAAGAGCUCGUAGGCGGUCUGUUGCGUCGGCUGUGAAAACCCGGGGCUCAACCCCGGGCCUGCAUUCGAUACGGGCAGACUAGAGUUCGGUAGGGGAGUCUGGAAUUCCUGGUGUAGCGGUGAAAUGCGCAGAUAUCAGGAGGAACACCGGUGGCGAAGGCGGGACUCUGGGCCGAUACUGACGCUGAGGCGCGAAAGCGUGGGGAGCGAACAGG